This 451-nucleotide ribosomal RNA is filed under the name uncultured Flavobacteriaceae bacterium. Its description in RNAcentral is "bacterial SSU rRNA". It matches the Rfam family "Bacterial small subunit ribosomal RNA", at positions 52 to 496 of the family's 1533-position model. Lineage: Bacteria; Pseudomonadati; Bacteroidota; Flavobacteriia; Flavobacteriales; Flavobacteriaceae. The record is from RNAcentral.
CACAUGCAAGUCGAGGGGUAACAGGGAUUGCUUGCAAUCCGCUGACGACCGGCGCACGGGUGCGUAACGCGUAUGCAACCUACCUUUUACAAGGGGAUAGCCCAGAGAAAUUUGGAAUAAUACCCUAUACGAUCAUUAAUUGGCAUCAGUUAAUGAAGAAAACUCCGGUGGUAAAAGAUGGGCAUGCGUCCUAUUAGUUAGUUGGUAAGGUAACGGCUUACCAAGACUUCGAUAGGUAGGGGUCCUGAGAGGGAGAUCCCCCACACUGGUACUGAGACACGGACCAGACUCCUACGGGAGGCAGCAGUGAGGAAUAUUGGACAAUGGAGGCAACUCUGAUCCAGCCAUGCCGCGUGCAGGAAGACGGCCCUACGGGUUGUAAACUGCUUUUAUACAGGAAGAACUAUAUCUACGUGUAGAUAUUUGACGGUACUGUACGAAUAAGGAUCGG